UUUAAGUCCCCCCAAGAAGGGAGACAGAGCCUUGAUUUUACUUUUUCAACAGAAAAACAGUACUUCCAACAAUGCUCUUUUUUAUAGGGAAAAGACACAAACUUCUCUGAGCAACGUUAGAAGAUGCCAGCUUAUUUUUUAACAUUCCUCCCCUCCACUCAACUCUAAAAUGUGAUCAGCGUGCAAAAUAGAUCUCUGCAGAGCAAGACACUGUUGGAUACUGCAGUGAUUGCUUCAGUACCUGAGGAGUUGUGAACACUGGUGAGCAUCGUACAAUCGUCCACUUCUGAUCUUAAGAUGAAGUAAUUAUGAUUAAAUUAUUGAUAAAGCAGCUGAAGAUUGCUGGGCCUAGGAUAUUCACUUGAAGAACUUCUGAGGAGAUGUCCUGUAGCUCUGGAAGAGCAUUAUCAAAAAGAGCAUCUUAAAUGGAGUGAAAAUAAAUCUGGUGAAUUGGAGGGUGAUGAGGUGCAGGAGGAGGACAGCACAAAGCAACAGAGAUACGUGAUAAUCAAAAGACGAUUUCACACUGGAAGGAGAGUUCCAGUUGGUAAUAAAACCAAACCUGAAAACAGCACAAGAGAAUAAUGGGAACAGAAGUCAACAUUACCCAAGAAGAUUAUCAGGCUUUGUUGGCUUUCUAAGACACAAUAACACCAAAGCAACACACAACUGAACAGCAAAAAAAAAUCAAAUCCUUUGGCUCUCGAAGUUACAGUUUCAGAUGUGAAACUAAAAACACAGAAUCAAUGUCCAGCUUUACACUAAUGCAACUUUUGUGA
Stegostoma tigrinum is the source of this 779-nucleotide long non-coding RNA. RefSeq lists it as uncharacterized. The record is from RefSeq and is a predicted model, not a curated record. The transcript is spliced from 4 exons. Lineage: Eukaryota; Metazoa; Chordata; Chondrichthyes; Orectolobiformes; Stegostomatidae.